ACACAGCGACUUCGUGAUGUCGCUCCGGGAGGUCGCUCCCAUGCUCGGUUCGUCCAAUGGUCACCUUUUCACCUCUUUUGAGUUUCAAAUAACCUCAUGUGGUACUCCAGUACCUAAUAGAGACUCAUGUAUGCAAAAUGCAACCUAAACAUGUCUGAAUCCUAAUCUAUAUGAUGAAAAUGCUCAUGGAUGAAUGGAUAAAACAAUGCAAAUAUGCAAGAUAUCAACUCCCCCAAACUUGUUCUUUUACUUGUCCACAAGUGAACUUUCUAGAACUCAUAGGGAGAGAGGUUGAAGGAGGGAGCACAUAGCCAAAAGAAACACAACUAGCACACUCUCUUAUUACACUCUAGCUUCUCUAGGCCUAUCUUAACUCUUUUUGUUCUUACACUCAUCAUCAAGCAUCCACACAUUCAAAUCAACCAACUCUCACAUUCAUUAAGCACAAAACAUCAGGUGAAUUCUUGCAAAUGGUCAGUUGGUCCAAGUCAUUUGGUUGGGUAAGGGAAGGCUUUUAUUCAAGUGAUUCAAGAGGUUCAAAACAUAUGAUCUUUAAGGUGGUUUACUCUCAAAACAAGUAGCCUUGACAUUGCACAUAAUAUAUCUAAGAAAGGGACCAACUCAUGCAUACAAUGCUCAAUCUCCAUUGUUCUACCCUUUUCCCAAACAUACAAUUACACAAUCAUUCCCAAAUGUCAAACCCAACUCACAUCUCUCACCAAAAGAUCCUAAGAACUUUAACUCCUUCUCUUUGAAAUCUACAAGGGAUUUUUCACAACCUCAAAACAUUUCUUAGCUCCUAACAACUUUGCUAGCCCCCUUUUUCUUUUUUUUUCUUUUUUUUUCUUUUCUCUUUUUUUUUCGUUUUUCUUUUUCCCUUUUUUUUUUUUUUUUAGGCUGGGGGCCAAGACUUUUCAAAACUUGAACUAGAGGCUUCUAUACUGGUCCCAAUAAAACAAUUCACUUAAGCACAAAGAGUCUAUUCUUUUCCUUUUUCAUUUCUCCCAAAUCAUAAUCACAACACUCACCCCCACUUAUAGCUAGACAAUAGAGUGUCCAAUCUAGCAAGAAUGAAGAUCAAGCAUUGUCGUUCCCGAUACUCUCAACAUUAUGCACAUGUAAGACUUUCCGAAAAAGGCCUCACUCAUCAAACAAUGAAAGCUUAAAAGGAGGAAAAGGUUUUGGGAGUGGUCUACCACUAGAGUUUGUCAAAAAAGAUUGGUAUAAAAGAUGUGACAACUCAAGUGUGUAUAGCCAUGACUCAGUACACAAGGGACCAUGAGCAAGAAGCAUUAAGUUCGUUCAGUUCAAAUAAGGUUGUAGUUGGCUUCAAAGACUGAGUUUCAGCAAUCAACAAGUUUCAGGAAGAGUUUUCAAGGCUCGAAACAUACAAGUCUUUUUGAGAGGUGCAAAAGCUAGUCAAGUGCAACGUAGUGUUCUUUACAAGGCAUUCAAAAUCAUUGCUCCCAAUGCAAGUGAAUGCAACCUAUAUGCUCUAGACUCUCCUAAAAAUGCAAAUGAUGCAAACUAAAUGAUUGAUUUUUUUUUUUUUAUCUAUGCAAAUAGGUAUGCCAUGCAUGACUCAAUGAAACAACAUCAAAGCAAACAUGAUCAAAUACUUGGUACCUCCCCCAAACUUGAGUUACACAGUCUCUGUGUCGUCAAGUAGAGAGAGAUACCGAAAAGAAGACUAAUAUGCAAAAAUGAAAUGGUAUAUACAAGGGAGUGUGGUGGGUUACCUUCUAUAGGGAAUGAGUAGAGGGAGAUGCUCCCUCAUCGUCGUCCUCAGGUGGUAACUCUUCAAGGUGCUCAUCAGCAGGAGUGCCCAUCUCUUCAAUGUAGAAGGCUUGCCCGAACACAGUUGGUUUCCUCAUUUUUCCCUUGAUGUCAAAGUGGAGGAUGUUCUCUUUACCCAAAUGGAGAUCAAUCGUGCCCUCCUUCACAUUAACAAUAGCUCCUGCUGUAGCUAAGAAUGGCCUUCCUAGAAUCAAUGGAUCUUGAGCCUCCUCACCCAUCUCAAGCACCACAAAAUCUGUAGGUAUCUCAUACCUUCCAAUCUUCACAGGGAGGUCCUCUAAGAUGCCCACAGGGUACUUCACUGAACGAUCAGCUAACACCAGAGAGAGUCUACACUUCUUGUACUGAGUGAAUCCAAGCUUCUUUGCAACAGACAAAGGCAUCAAGCUGACACUAGCUCCCAAAUCGCAGAGACUUUUCUCAAAUACCAUAGGUCCAAGAGCACAAGGUAGUGUGAAGCUUCCUGGAUCCUCUAAUUUCUCUGGAACAUCAAGCCUCUGGAUGAUGGCAUUGCACUCAUGGGUAAGAAUCAUCAUGCCUUCCAUCUCCUUCUUCUUUGCAGCUACAACAUCUUUCAGGAAAUUGUUGUAUUGAGGAAUCAACAUGAAAGCAUCGAUGAUGGGCAUUGCAACCUGAGCUUCACUCAUUUGCUUCUCAAACAGAGCUUUGUACUUCUCUAGCAGCUGCUUCUUGAAUCUACCAGGGAAUGGAAGUUUGGGUUCAUAGGGAGGAGGAACAAAAGAACUUUCACUUGCUGGAGUAACAACUUCACCAUCCUUUACUGUCUUCUUCUUCUCUCCAACCUUUCCUUUACCUUUGGCUUCCACUAUCUUCUCCAAGAUCUCGUCAUUGAUCUUCUCAUCAACAAUCACCACUUCAUCAUCUAUGUUGAUGGCAACCCCCUCACCUAGUUUCUCAGCAUCCUUGGUGAGGGUUCUAGGAGGUAACUGUUUACCACUCCUAAGGGUGAUAGCUUUGGCCUCCUUGGGAUUUGGUCAGACUUUCCAGGUAGAGAUCCUUGCUGACGAUUCUGGUGAGUGUUUAUGGAAGCAAAUUGAUUCUCUAAAUUCCUGACUGUAGAAGCAAGGUGUGAGAAUUUGUUGUUGAGCUCAUUGUAGCUCCCAUCAAUCUUGGAAUGAAGGUUCUUCAACUCAUAACCAACUUGCUUCUCACUUCUAGUCUGAGACUCCAAGAUUUGUUUCAGUAAGGUAUCAGUGCUGCUCUCUUGAGGAGCAGAGGAACCAGACGAGGGGUUUUGCUGAGGCUGAUAGCUGCCUUGCUGGUUGUUUCUAGGCGGAUAACCACUCUGUUGGUUGUUGGGAUAGGAUUUCUGUUGGUAGUUGUUGUACUGAAAGUUGGGCUCCUUUUUGUACCAGCUACCAUUGUUGUUGAUGAAACACAACUCCUCUUGACCUUCCAAACCCUCAACCUCAUUGACAGCAAGUGGAUCUUCCUGCUUGGAGUUACCAACAAACUUCAGCUGCUCUUGGGUUGCUUUUUCAGCAAUGAGUAGGUCGAUCUUGUCUUCCAAAGCUUUGAUCUCUUUCCUCGUCUGCUUAUCAUCUGUUCUACUGCCUCUGUCGUGGUCUCCACUGUAGACUGCAUCACUCUUUACCAUGUUGUCAACCAGCUCUUCUGCAUCCUCCUCAGUUCUCCCCAAGAAGAACCCAUUGCUAGCUGUAUCCAGUCUGGCUCUGUACUUAGGAAGAGCACCACGGUAGAAUGUGCUCAGCAAGCUCUCCUUAGAAAAGCCAUGGUGUGGGCAUUGAGCUUGGUAGCCCUUGAAUCUCUCCCAGGCUUCACUGAAGCCUUCCAAGUUCUUCUGUUGAAAGCUGGAAAUCUCGUUUCUCAGCUUAGCAGUUCUUGAAGUAGAGAAGAACUUCUCCAAGAAUGCUUUCUUGCAGUCAUCCCAAGUAGUGAUGGAGUCACUGGGUAGAGACUUCUCCCACUGACGUGCCUUAUCCCCCAAAGAGAAAGGGAAUAGCUUGAGCUUUAAGGCAUCUUCGGACACACCAUUGGUUUUUGACAACCCACAGUAGCUGUCGAACCUGUCCAAGUGAUCAAAUGGAUCCUCUAGAGCCAAGCCAUGAUACUUGUUGUUCUCGAUCACGUUGAGGAGUCCUGAUUUGAUCUCAAAGUUGUUGGCUGCCACAGCGGGUGCUCGGAUUCCCAAUCUAUGACCAUGAAUGUUGGGGCGGUCGUAAGUGCCAAUGGGUCGAGCUGCUCGCUGUUGGUUUUGAGGUAUGUCUCCCAUAUCAGUACUCAAUCUCUACAAGUGAGCCUGUUGCUCUUCUUCUCUUCUAUUUCUAGCACACUCUCUCUCUAAAGCUCUGAUGUCUGCAGCUAUUGGAACUAGGUUUGAUGGACCCCUGCUCCGCAAGUUCAUACACCUGUAGAUUAAAAGGAGGUGAAGAAGAGUCAGUAACAAAAGAAAAUAAAAAUGACUUAGUCUCAAGCAAUUGACUAAAUCUCAAUGUUUAAAUCUACUCAGAAUUUGGCAACGGCGCCAAUUUGAUGUUAGGAGUUUUCAAGGCUCCUAAGACAAAUGUUGUAGUAUAGAAGAUUGUCGAACCAGUUCUGAGGGAUAUCAAAGCACUGAGAAUGCAAUUACUCACUUAAUCUAAGUGCAACCAAUGAUUUAGAUGGGUUUUAGAACUAUGACUAAUUAAAAGGAAUAACUAAAUGAUACUUUCUUGACUAAGGGAAAAGAGAACUCAUGGGCAUAGGGAUUAGACCUUGGGUGAUCAAGUAUCGAACUAAGGAUGGCAAAUGAUCAAUCAAACUAUCAACCUUAAGCCUAGACACAAUUCUAAGCAAGCUCUAUGUCUAGAUGAAUGCUCAUUUGCUAACACAUCUCAAACAUCAAAUGUCUUUGGUUGAAUAAUAUGAAAGCAAUCAUUACUAACAAGUCUAUUAGCUAUCUUAGCACCUUUAACAACAAAUGUCUUUGGCAAAGUAUACUAAAAGCCUAGGAGAGUUGUCUCGGGCAUUUCAUCGAACACCUUUCGGGUGAGAAAUGCCUAAGGAUCAACAACUGAGUGGCCAACUCAGAAGAUGCAUUAUGAUUACUCUACUAGCAAGGAAAUAUGAAUGAUCUACACUAAAACAUCCUAGCUCUAACCUAAUCACCCUUAAUCUCCCUAACCCAUGAAUUCAAAAGGUGAUUACUCACUAAUCUCCAUGAUUCCUCUUAAACCCAUAUUGGAUUUCAGAUUAACCAUGUAGAGAAAUAGAUAAGAAAUCAACAAGAACACAAGAACAUAACAAAUCAAAAUCCAAGAGAUGAACUUCUCCAGAGAGUGUUUAUGUAUUUCUCCAAGAUAAAAGAUAAUCUGCCUCUGGUGGCUACAAAAGAUGUUUAAAACAUAGGUUUUUCCAAGUGCAAAACGUCCAAAAUAAAUUGCAAAAAGGUCCUUAAGAAAUCAUGAUUUUCGGCAGCAAAAUAACGCGGAGCGACUUGCAGGUGUCGCUCCGGGAAGUCGCUCCAGGGCCGAUUUUUGGUGUCUCCGGGCGAGAGGUCGCGAGCGACUUUGGUGUGUCGCUCCAACGGGUCGCUCUGGAUUGGGAGCGACCUUGGUAGGUCGCUCUGAGAGGUCGCUCCAGGGUCAUCUAAGACUGUUCGGAGUAAUGAGAACGCGAGCGACUUCAUGGCGUCGCUUUAGGAAGGUCGCUCUGAGAAGUGGGACACAGCGACUUCGUGAUGUCGCUCCGGGAGGUCGCUCCCAUGCUCGGUUCGUCCAAUGGUCACCUUUUCACCUCUUUUGAGCUCCAAAUAACCUCAUGUGGUACUCCAGUACCUAAUAGAGACUCAUGUAUGCAAAAUGCAACCUAAACAUGUCUGAAUCCUAAUCUAUAUGAUGAAAAUGCUCAUGGAUGAAUGGAUAAAACAAUGCAAAUAUGCAAGAUAUCA
RNAcentral lists this long non-coding RNA (5707 nucleotides) under Brassica rapa (field mustard). RNAcentral describes it as "long non-coding RNA (BRAP_LNC006667)". The stretch from base 3546 to 3652 matches the Rfam family "Plant small nucleolar RNA R71". Lineage: Eukaryota; Viridiplantae; Streptophyta; Magnoliopsida; Brassicales; Brassicaceae. The record is from RNAcentral.